RNAcentral lists this ribosomal RNA (253 nucleotides) under uncultured bacterium. RNAcentral describes it as "partial 16S ribosomal RNA". It matches the Rfam family "Bacterial small subunit ribosomal RNA", at positions 524 to 776 of the family's 1533-position model. The record is from RNAcentral.
UACGGGGGGGGUAAGCGUUGUUCGGAAUUACUGGGCGUAAAGGGCUCGUAGGCGGCCAACUAAGUCAUACGUGAAAUCCCUCAGCUUAACUGGGGAACUGCGUGUGAUACUGGAUGGCUUGGAUUUGGGAGAGGGAUGCGGAAUUCCAGGUGUAGCGGUGAAAUGCGCAGAUAUCAGGAAGAACACCCGUGGCGAAGGCGGCUUUCUGGGACGGUACUGACGCUGAGACGCGAAAGCGUGGGGAGCGAACAGG